Long non-coding RNA from Oncorhynchus nerka (sockeye salmon), 1740 nucleotides. RefSeq lists it as uncharacterized. The transcript has 3 exons. NCBI's taxonomy places the organism in Eukaryota, Metazoa, Chordata, Actinopteri, Salmoniformes, Salmonidae. The record is from RefSeq and is a predicted model, not a curated record.
GCCACCAGAAACAAACAGAGCAGACGAAGUCAACAAAGAUCAUUCUCUGUUCUUAGAUCUGAAUCAACUCGACCCCAAAAGAGAAAAAUAAGCGAUAAAAAGACUGCUCAUGACCAAUCAUGGAACCGCAUAAACAUUGGAAUUAAUUUGAAAGCUGGAAGAGUUCAUUGGCUGGUAACGUUAAGUACGAUGUACGCCUACCACGAUACGCCUUGGUCUCCUUCUACCAACGAGAGCUGUUACAUGAGGGGCUGUUCGGGUGUCUGGAGUAAAUCCCUUUUGUUCAAACUCAAACUCCAAUCCAAGGACAACCUGGCCUGAUUACUCCUUGUGUCCCCAGUCGACCUGGUCGUGCUGUUGCUCCAGUUUCAACUGUUCUGCCUGCGGCUAUGGAACCCUGACCUGUUCACCGGACGUGCUACCUUGUCCUGGACCUGCUGUUUAAGACUCGCUCUAUCGCACCUGCUGUUUCUAAUAUCGGAAUGAUCGGCUAUGAAAAGCCAACUGUCAUUCACUCCUGAGGUGCUGACCUGUUGCACCCUCUACAACCACUGUGAUUAUUAUUAUUUGACUCUGCUGGUCAACUAUGAAUGUUUGACCAUCUUGUCCAUGUACUGUACUGUUAUAAUCUCCACUCGGCACAGCCAGAAGAGGACUGGCCACACCUCAGAGCCUGGUUCCCCUCUUGGUUUCUUCCUAUGUUCCUGCCUUUCUAGGGAGUUUUUCCUAGCCACUGUGCUUCUACAUCUGCAUUGCUUGCUGUUUGGGGGUUUAAAGCUGGGUUUCUGUACAGCACUUUGUGACAUCUGCUGAUGUAAAAAAUGGCAUUAUAAAUACAUUUGAUUGAGUACAGACCAGUACAGUCCAAUACAACAGAGGGACUCUGUGAUCCUGACUGAAGAGGACUUAUCCCCCCCUCCCCCGCCUAAAGAAUGUAUUUUUAACAGAAAACAGGAUCCUCCAUUAUAGUGAAUGGGAAAAUGUCAAUCUUCGUGUAAACAAAAAUAUGUUUAGAAAACAGUCAUGGUCCCAAUGUUUGCUUCUAAUACACCAGAUGUGUGUCCUUGAACCGAUUAUUACAGAAGAAGUUAUACAGAUAAUUAAGUUGCUAAUGGCAGCCUCUAGUACUCUUGCAAUGUCACAUCCUGGAGUAGCUCAAACUGCGCGUAUUAUGAAUCCAUGAGAUGCCAUCUUAAUCGACAUCAUUUGGCUUCAAUGCAUCACUGAGUCUUCACAUAGGAAUGAAUGAUGUCACAUGAUCGAUGGCUUUGUCCAUUCAUAUACAGUAAUCACUUUCUCCUCUCCUCACCUUCCUCCCUGAACUUAGCCUGCCCUGGUUGCCAUAUCAGGCAACCCCGGCUACCCUGAACUCUGUAUAAGCUUAAACUACACUUUCGGCAGACACCGAGUGGCCCCGUCCAUCUUUUCCUAGGUUAGUCAUUAUGUGGAGUUUCUGGGAGUAAGACAUCGUUAAACUCACAAGCACAGUUGAUAUUCCAGGAAGUGAAUAAGAAACAUUCCCAGUUUACAUUAGGUCCCAAUGUGACUUAAAUGGGUAUUUCCUUCAUGGGGCUCCUUGGGGAAUAUCUAACAUGAAAUGCUGACACAAGCAUCACAAACAUUUGUUUUCAUAACGUUUUUCUCUCCAAACCAGAGAGGCCAGAGAGCAGUGGAGGGUGCAGAGGGAACAGUCUUAGUUUGCUAGAGUAUGUGACAGAGGAAAGGCGAGGCCCAUUUGGA